AGACCCGAAACCCGGUGAUCUAGCCAUGGGCAGGUUGAAGGUUGGGUAACACUAACUGGAGGACCGAACCGACUAAUGUUGAAAAAUUAGCGGAUGACCUGUGGCUGGGGGUGAAAGGCCAAUCAAACCGGGAGAUAGCUGGUUCUCCCCGAAAGCUAUUUAGGUAGCGCCUCGUGAAUUCAUCUCCGGGGGUAGAGCACUGUUUCGGCUAGGGGGCCAUCCCGGCUUACCAACCCGAUGCAAACUGCGAAUACCGGAGAAUGUUAUCACGGGAGACACACGGCGGGUGCUAACGUCCGUCGUGAAGAGGGAAACAACCCAGACCGCCAGCUAAGGUCCCAAAGUCAUGGUUAAGUGGGAAACGAUGUGGGAAGGCCCAGACAGCCAGGAUGUUGGCUUAGAAGCAGCCAUCAUUUAAAGAAAGCGUAAUAGCUCACUGGUCGAGUCGGCCUGCGCGGAAGAUGUAACGGGGCUAAACCAUGCACCGAAGCUGCGGCAGCGAACGUAUCACCCAAGACAACUUUACGGAGUUGACGAUUGACGGAGCGAAGCGACGUCAAAGCGUUCAUUAAAGUCGAGUUGGCUUAGGGAUACGUUCGUUGGGUAGGGGAGCGUUCUGUAAGCCUGUGAAGGUGUGUCGUGAGGCAUGCUGGAGGUAUCAGAAGUGCGAAUGCUGACAUAAGUAACGAUAAAGCGGGUGAAAAGCCCGCUCGCCGGAAGACCAAGGGUUCCUGUCCAACGUUAAUCGGGGCAGGGUGAGUCGACCCCUAAGGCGAGGCCGAAAGGCGUAGUCGAUGGGAAACGGGUUAAUAUUCCCGUACUUGGUGUUACUGCGAAGGGGGGACGGAGAAGGCUAUGUUGGCCGGGCGACGGUUGUCCCGGUUUAAGCGUGUAGGUGUGUGUUCCAGGUAAAUCCGGUUCACUUUAACACUGAGGCGUGACGACGAGGCACUACGGUGCUGAAGCAACAAAUGCCCUGCUUCCAGGAAAAGCCUCUAAGCAUCAGGUAACAUCAAAUCGUACCCCAAACCGACACAGGUGGUCAGGUAGAGAAUACCAAGGCGCUUGAGAGAACUCGGGUGAAGGAACUAGGCAAAAUGGUGCCGUAACUUCGGGAGAAGGCACGCUGACACGUAGGUGAAGUGAUUUACUCAUGGAGCUGAAGUCAGUCGAAGAUACCAGCUGGCUGCAACUGUUUAUUAAAAACACAGCACUGUGCAAACACGAAAGUGGACGUAUACGGUGUGACGCCUGCCCGGUGCCGGAAGGUUAAUUGAUGGGGUCAGCGCAAGCGAAGCUCCUGAUCGAAGCCCCGGUAAACGGCGGCCGUAACUAUAACGGUCCUAAGGUAGCGAAAUUCCUUGUCGGGUAAGUUCCGACCUGCACGAAUGGCGUAAUGAUGGCCAGGCUGUCUCCACCCGAGACUCAGUGAAAUUGAACUCGCUGUGAAGAUGCAGUGUACCCGCGGCAAGACG
Molecule: ribosomal RNA, 1475 nt
Filed under: Salmonella enterica
Lineage: Bacteria; Pseudomonadati; Pseudomonadota; Gammaproteobacteria; Enterobacterales; Enterobacteriaceae
Description: partial 23S ribosomal RNA
Rfam family: Bacterial large subunit ribosomal RNA
Source: RNAcentral